This 408-nucleotide ribosomal RNA is filed under the name uncultured bacterium. RNAcentral describes it as "partial 16S ribosomal RNA". It matches the Rfam family "Bacterial small subunit ribosomal RNA", at positions 28 to 526 of the family's 1533-position model. The record is from RNAcentral.
GACGAACGCUGGCGGCGUGCCUAAUACAUGCAAGUAGAACGCAGUUGCGAACGGGUGAGUCACGCGUAGGUAACCUGCCUCAUAGCGGGGGAUAACUAUUGGAAAAGAUAGCUAAUACCGCAUACUGUGAGAUGGACCUGCGUUGUAUUAGCUCGUUGUGGAGGUAAAGGCUCACCAAGGCGCCGAUACAUAGCCGACCUGAGAGGGUGAUCGGCCACACUGGGACUGAGACACGGUCCAGACUCCGACGGGAGGCAGCAGUGGGGAAUAUUGGACAAUGGGCGAAAGCCUGAUCCAGCCAUGCCGCGUGUGUGAAGAAGGUCUUCGGAUUGUAAAGCACUUUCAGCGGGGAGGCGUUACCCGCAGAAGAAGCACCGGCUAACUCCGUGCCAGCAGCCGCGGUAAUAC